RNAcentral lists this ribosomal RNA (460 nucleotides) under uncultured bacterium. RNAcentral describes it as "partial 16S ribosomal RNA". It matches the Rfam family "Bacterial small subunit ribosomal RNA", at positions 338 to 795 of the family's 1533-position model. The record is from RNAcentral.
CCUACGGGUGGCAGCAGUGAGGAAUAUUGGUCAAUGGGCUUACGCCUGAACCAGCCAAGUCGCGUGAGGGAAGACGGCCCUAUGGGUUGUAAACCUCUUUUGUCAGGGAGCAAUUGGCGCUACGUGUAGUGUUAUCGAGAGUACCUGAAGAAAAAGCAUCGGCUAACUCCGUGCCAGCAGCCGCGGUAAUACGGAGGAUGCGAGCGUUAUCCGGAUUUAUUGGGUUUAAAGGGUGCGCAGGCGGAAGAUCAAGUCAGCGGUAAAAUUGAGGGGCUCAACCUCUUCGAGCCGUUGAAACUGGUUGUCUUGAGUGGGUGAGAAGUAUGCGGAAUGCGUGGUGUAGCGGUGAAAUGCAUAGAUAUCGCGCAGAACUCCGAUUGCGAAGGCAGCAUACCGGCGCUCAACUGACGCUCAUGCACGAAAGUGUGGGUAUCGAACAGGAUUAGAUACCCCAGUAGUC